ACACGGCCCAGACUCCUACGGGAGGCAGCAGUGGGGAAUUUUGGACAAUGGGGGCAACCCUGAUCCAGCCAUGCCGCGUGAGUGAAGAAGGCCUUCGGGUUGUAAAGCUCUUUCACCCGGAACGAAACGGUCACGGUUAAUACCCGUGACUACUGACGGUACCGGAAGAAGAAGCACCGGCUAACUACGUGCCAGCAGCCGCGGUAAUACGUAGGGUGCGAGCGUUAAUCGGAAUUACUGGGCGUAAAGCGUGCGCAGGCGGUUUUGUAAGUCAGAUGUGAAAUCCCCGGGCUUAACCUGGGAACUGCGUUUGAAACUACAAGGCUAG
RNAcentral lists this ribosomal RNA (328 nucleotides) under uncultured bacterium. Its description in RNAcentral is "bacterial SSU rRNA". It matches the Rfam family "Bacterial small subunit ribosomal RNA", at positions 324 to 644 of the family's 1533-position model. The record is from RNAcentral.